AUUGAACGCUGGCGGCAUGCCUUACACAUGCAAGUCGAACGGCAGCACGGGUGCUUGCACCUGGUGGCGAGUGGCGAACGGGUGAGUAAUAUAUCGGAACGUACCUAUUGUGGGGGAUAACGCAGCGAAAGCUGUGCUAAUACCGCAUAAUCCCUAAGGGGGAAAGCGGGGGACCGUAAGGCCUCGCGCAAUUAGAGCGGCCGAUACCUGAUUAGCUAGUUGGUGAGGUAAAGGCUCACCAAGGCAACGAUCAGUAGCUGGUCUGAGAGGACGAUCAGCCACACUGGGACUGAGACACGGCCCAGACUCCUACGGGAGGCAGCAGUGGGGAAUUUUGGACAAUGGGGGCAACCCUGAUCCAGCAAUGCCGCGUGAGUGAAGAAGGCCUCCGGGUUGUAAAGCUCUUUUGUCAGGGAAGAAACAGCAGCUCUAACACAGUUUGCGAAUGACGGUACCUGAAGAAUAAGCACCGGCUAACUACGUGCCAGCAGCCGCAGUAA
This 500-nucleotide ribosomal RNA is filed under the name uncultured bacterium. RNAcentral describes it as "partial 16S ribosomal RNA". It matches the Rfam family "Bacterial small subunit ribosomal RNA", at positions 30 to 523 of the family's 1533-position model. The record is from RNAcentral.